UGCAAGUCGAGCGGGCCCUUCGGGGUCAGCGGCGGACGGGUGAGUAACGCGUGGGAACGUGCCUUCUGGUUCGGAAUAACCCUGGGAAACUAGGGCUAAUACCGGAUACGCCCUUUUGGGGAAAGGUUUACUGCCGGAAGAUCGGCCCGCGUCUGAUUAGCUAGUUGGUGGGGUAACGGCCUACCAAGGCGACGAUCAGUAGCUGGUCUGAGAGGAUGAUCAGCCACACUGGGACUGAGACACGGCCCAGACUCCUACGGGAGGCAGCAGAC
This 272-nucleotide ribosomal RNA is filed under the name uncultured Methylobacterium sp. Its description in RNAcentral is "partial 16S ribosomal RNA". It matches the Rfam family "Bacterial small subunit ribosomal RNA", at positions 56 to 354 of the family's 1533-position model. Lineage: Bacteria; Pseudomonadati; Pseudomonadota; Alphaproteobacteria; Hyphomicrobiales; Methylobacteriaceae. The record is from RNAcentral.